GAACGCUAGCGGCAGGCUUAACACAUGCAAGUCGAGGGGCAGCGGGGAGGAAGCUUGCUUUCUCCGCCGGCGACCGGCGCACGGGUGAGUAACACGUAUGCAACCUGCCCCUGUCAGGGGGACAACCCGCCGAAAGGCGGGCUAAACCCGCGUACAUGCCACCGGGGCAUCCCGGAGGCAGGAAAGGCUUCGGCCGGACAGGGAUGGGCAUGCGGCGCAUUAGGCAGUAGGCGGGGUAACGGCCCACCUAACCGACGAUGCGUAGGGGUUCUGAGAGGAAGGUCCCCCACACUGGUACUGAGACACGGACCAGACUCCUACGGGAGGCAGCAGUGAGGAAUAUUGGUCAAUGGUCGGGAGACUGAACCAGCCAAGCCGCGUGAGGGAGGAAGGUACAGAGUAUCGUAAACCUCUUUUGUCAGGGAACAAAGGCGGGGACGUGUCCCCGGAUGAGUGUACCUGAAGAAAAAGCAUCGGCUAACUCCGUGCCAGCAGCCGCGGUAAUACGGAGGAUGCGAGCGUUAUCCGGAUUUAUUGGGUUUAAAGGGUGCGCAGGCGGUCUGUUAAGUCAGCGGUCAAAGCCCGGGGCUCAACCCCGGCCCGCCGUUGAAACUGGCAGUCUCGAGUUGGAGAGAAGUAUGCGGAAUGCGCGGUGUAGCGGUGAAAUGCAUAGAUAUCGCGCAGAACUCCGAUUGCGAAGGCAGCAUGCCGGCUCCACACUGACGCUGAGGCACGAAAGCGUGGGUAUCGAACAGGAUUAGAUACCCUGGUAGUCCACGCAGUAAACGAUGAAUGCUGGCUGUCCGGGGGGAUUGACCCCUGGGUGGCGAAGCGAAAGCGAUAAGCAUUCCACCUGGGGAGUACGCCGGCAACGGUGAAACUCAAAGGAAUUGACGGGGGCCCGCACAAGCGGAGGAACAUGUGGUUUAAUUCGAUGAUACGCGAGGAACCUUACCCGGGCUCAAACGGGGAGUGACUCAGGCAGAGACGCCUGUUUCCCACGGGACACUCCCCGAGGUGCUGCAUGGUUGUCGUCAGCUCGUGCCGUGAGGUGUCGGCUUAAGUGCCAUAACGAGCGCAACCCCCGCGUGCAGUUGCUAACAGAUAACGCUGAGGACUCUGCACGGACUGCCGGCGCAAGCCGCGAGGAAGGCGGGGAUGACGUCAAAUCAGCACGGCCCUUACGUCCGGGGCGACACACGUGUUACAAUGGGUGGUACAGCGGGAAGCCAGGCGGCGACGCCGAGCGGAACCCGAAAUCCACUCUCAGUUCGGAUCGGAGUCUGCAACCCGACUCCGUGAAGCUGGAUUCGCUAGUAAUCGCGCAUCAGCCAUGGCGCGGUGAAUACGUUCCCGGGCCUUGUACACACCGCCCGUCAAGCCAUGGGAGCCGAGGGCGCUUGAAGUGCGUCGCCGCGAGGCGCGCCCUAGAGCGAAAUCGGUGACUGGG
RNAcentral lists this ribosomal RNA (1450 nucleotides) under uncultured organism. RNAcentral's name for it is "16S ribosomal RNA". It matches the Rfam family "Bacterial small subunit ribosomal RNA". The record is from RNAcentral.